RNAcentral lists this transfer RNA (74 nucleotides) under Candidatus Woesearchaeota archaeon. RNAcentral describes it as "tRNA-Phe". It matches the Rfam family "tRNA". From Rfam's summary of the family: Transfer RNA (tRNA) molecules are approximately 80 nucleotides in length. The record is from RNAcentral. Lineage: Archaea; Nanobdellati; Candidatus Woesearchaeota.
GGGAACGUAGCUCAACCUGGGAGAGCACUAGACUGAAGCUCUAGGUGUUGGGGGUUCAAAUCCCCCCGUUCCCA